CUGGCAACAGCUAGAGUCUCAUACAUACAAAACAGAAUUCAAAACAAAACCUCUCCUGAAGCUUGGUUAGUUUGCUCCAGGAAAACCAAAACCGGCCAGCAGCAUGUUUCUUCUGACAACUGGGAGAGGAGGAAGAAGGCCAUGUUGUUCGGAGGAUGACCCUGAUGGAGCAACAGGUUCCAGUGACUGUCCUUGGCCCAAGACAAUAAGUCCACCUCCUCCUUCAGCCUCGUAUAAACCUGCCUCCCACCUUCUGCCUCUUCCAUCAUGGAUAUAUAAUAAACUCUCUGAGUUUCUGGGCAGUUGCUGGUGUCUUUGUUAGAGUGCACAGUCCAUCCACGCCAGCUGUUCCAUGCCUGUGCCCGUGCGUCGGGCCCUCCUUUAUUCCAGCACACGUGUGGAGGUCAACCUUGAG
Molecule: long non-coding RNA, 415 nt
Filed under: Cricetulus griseus (Chinese hamster)
Lineage: Eukaryota; Metazoa; Chordata; Mammalia; Rodentia; Cricetidae
Description: lncRNA (ENSCGRG00015040768.1)
Source: RNAcentral